GCCCUGGUAGUAUAGCUCGGUCUAGUAUAGACGGCUGUCGCCCGUCCGACCCGGGUUCAAAUCCCGGCCAGGGCG
This 75-nucleotide transfer RNA is filed under the name Candidatus Bathyarchaeota archaeon. RNAcentral's name for it is "tRNA-Asp". It matches the Rfam family "tRNA". From Rfam's summary of the family: Transfer RNA (tRNA) molecules are approximately 80 nucleotides in length. Lineage: Archaea; Thermoproteati; Candidatus Bathyarchaeota. The record is from RNAcentral.